GACAGCCUACGGGAGGCAGCAGUAGGGAAUUUUCCACAAUGGACGAAAGUCUGAUGGAGCAACGCCGCGUGAACGAUGAAGGUCUUCGGAUUGUAAAGUUCUGUUGUUAGGGACGAAUAAGUACCGUUCGAAUAGGGCGGUACCUUGACGGUACCUGACGAGAAAGCCACGGCUAACUACGUGCCAGCAGCCGCGGUAAUACGUAGGUGGCAAGCGUUGUCCGGAUUUAUUGGGCGUAAAGCGCGCGCAGGCGGCUAUGUAAGUCUGGUGUUAAAGCCCGGGGCUCAACCCCGGUUCGCAUCGGAAACUGUGUAGCUUGAGUGCAGAAGAGGAAAGCGGUAUUCCACGUGUAGCGGUGAAAUGCGUAGAGAUGUGGAGGAACACCAGUGGCGAAGGCGGCUUUCUGGUCUGUAACUGACGCUGAGGCGCGAAAGCGUGGGGGAGGCCAAAAU
Molecule: ribosomal RNA, 452 nt
Filed under: Brevibacillus brevis
Lineage: Bacteria; Bacillati; Bacillota; Bacilli; Caryophanales; Paenibacillaceae
Description: bacterial SSU rRNA
Rfam family: Bacterial small subunit ribosomal RNA
Source: RNAcentral